This 253-nucleotide ribosomal RNA is filed under the name uncultured bacterium. RNAcentral describes it as "partial 16S ribosomal RNA". It matches the Rfam family "Bacterial small subunit ribosomal RNA", at positions 524 to 776 of the family's 1533-position model. The record is from RNAcentral.
UACGGAGGGAGCUAGCGUUGUUCGGAAUUACUGGGCGUAAAGCGCACGUAGGCGGCUUUGUAAGUUAGAGGUGAAAGCCUGGGGCUCAACUCCAGAACUGCCUUUAAAACUGCAUCGCUUGAAUCCAGGAGAGGUGAGUGGAAUUCCGAGUGUAGAGGUGAAAUUCGUAGAUAUCGGGAGGAACACCGGUGGCGAAGGCGGCGACCUGGGUCGAUACUGACGCUGAGGUGCGAAAGCGUGGGGAGCAAACAGG